GGGGCCUUAAUGGUUUCGACGUGUUGGCGAAAGCUAACCCGUGAUUCAGGUCGAGAGUGAGUCUUCUCUCGUAAAUACCGGACUCAAAAAAACGUAACUGCGAACAACAUCGUUCCUUUUGCUCGUAAGGCAGCUGCUGUUGCCUAAACACCUCUUACAGGUUCGAGCGUCUAUAGUUUGACUCCGUUAAGGACUAUAGACCAAACCCCAACGGAUGCUCUAGUAAGCUGUCUUUGGUAAGCUUAUUAGCUAAGAAAACCACCAAAGCAUCCUGUCAUCCGGGAUAAUGGAUGGUUCCCGCCCUGAGGGUUAGAGGGGCUAAGCCUGUGAAUGAGCGAUAAGUUAAUACCCAAGGCGGACACGGGUUCGAUUCCCGUAGGCUCCAUAA
Molecule: transfer-messenger RNA, 388 nt
Filed under: Coleofasciculaceae
Lineage: Bacteria; Bacillati; Cyanobacteriota; Cyanophyceae; Coleofasciculales
Also listed under: 3 other names
Description: SIO3C6 sp010692425 Standard tmRNA
Rfam family: transfer-messenger RNA
About the family: Bacterial tmRNA, also known as 10Sa RNA or SsrA, is named for its dual tRNA and mRNA-like properties.
Source: RNAcentral